Molecule: ribosomal RNA, 460 nt
Filed under: uncultured bacterium
Lineage: Bacteria
Description: partial 16S ribosomal RNA
Rfam family: Bacterial small subunit ribosomal RNA
Source: RNAcentral
CCUACGGGAGGCAGCAGUGAGGAAUAUUGGUCAAUGGACGCAAGUCUGAACCAGCCAUGCCGCGUGCAGGAAGACGGCUCUAUGAGUUGUAAACUGCUUUUGUACGAGGGUAAACGCAGAUACGCGUAUCUGUCUGAAAGUAUCGUACGAAUAAGGAUCGGCUAACUCCGUGCCAGCCGCCGCGGUAAUACGGAGGAUUCAAGCGUUAUCCGGAUUUAUUGGGUUGAAAGGGAGCGUAGGCGGUCGGAUAAGUUAGAGGUGAAAUCCCGGGGCUCAACUUCGGAAUUGCCUCUGAUACUGUUCGGAUAGAGAGUAGUUGCGGUAGGCGGAAUGUAUGGUGUAGCGGUGAAAUGCUUAGAGAUCAUACAGAACACCGAUUGCGAAGGCAGCUUACCAAGCUACUUCUGACGUUGAGGCACGAAAGCGUGGGGAGCAAACAGGAAUAGAUACCCGAGUAGUC